UCACUCCAGCCUUGGAGUGGUGAGAGCAAAGAGCUGGAGUGCUCAGGCCAGCUGUAGGGGCAGGAGGAGGAGGAGUCACCCCAUGUAGUUGCUGUGAUUACUUGGAAGGAGAACAGAUGAGGCCAGAACAAGGGGCAGCAAAACUUUAAAGGAUGGAUCAGCCGUUUCAGAGCUCUGGGCAAGCAGUCCUCUCUUCAGGACUUUCAGCCAGAUUGCUGCUCUGCUGGGAAGUCCCCAGCUCCUGUGCCAAAAUGUCCCUGCUCAAAGCCACCUCUCUGCCCCAUCAUGUAGCCUUUGUGUUCUGUAGGAUGUGAGUCCAGGAGUUACUCAACCCCACCUGCAUAGGCGCUGACUCCAUGGGUGCUCUGGGGCUGGAGCACCCGUGGGGGGGGAGUGGGUGCUCAGCACCCACCGGUGGCCCCGUGGAUAAGCUCCUCCACAGGGCCUCCUGCUCGCCACAGAUCAGCAACCCAGAGCACCAGAUCCUCCAUGGGUGUAAAUUGGUGUCUCUCCACUGGCUUCAGUGGAGCUGCUUCCAGCAGAAGGUCUGGCUAAAAGGGACUAAAUCAUAGUGGGCAGACAGGGGAUGGUGAAGAAGCUAAUGUGGAAGCAUAGGGGCUAAAGGAAGCACGGCGAAAUAAUUAACUGGCAGAGAUGGGUGGUGUGGCUGGGUAGUCUCUUAAAAAGGAAGGAGGAGUUGUGGGGAAUAGCUGGGUAUUUAAAAAUCCUGUCCUGUCAAGAAUAAUUGGACAGCAGAGCUAUGAUUAGAACUCAGCAGUUCCUGACUCCCAGGCCUGGGAUCAGGCCACCAGACUAUCCUUUCUGAUCCCCGUCACUCACAAGGACAUCAUGUGGCUUCAAAGAGCUGUAGCUAGGGGCAGGACACAAUCUAGGGAGCCAGAAUGUCAAAUUUCAUUUUUUGGGGGGGGAGGGGGAGGAAUCCCCAGACAGUUGCCUGUUGCAGAAUUUGGUUGUGCAAAAAUGCUCAGUUACAAAUAAUGGGCCAAGUUCUCAGCUGGCAUAAGUCAGCAUAGUUCCAUUGCAGAGCUGUCCUGAUUUAUACCAGUGGAAGAUCUGGCCCUGUGAGAAUUCUAUAUUUCUAUAGUUCACAUCUGUUAGGAAGGAAGACUUCCAAACACACAUCGUAUUGUGAUUUGUUCUCUUAAUGGUGAACAAUAAAUGCUAAGUUAAAACAA
Long non-coding RNA from Dermochelys coriacea (leatherback sea turtle), 1196 nucleotides. RefSeq lists it as uncharacterized. The record is from RefSeq and is a predicted model, not a curated record. NCBI's taxonomy places the organism in Eukaryota, Metazoa, Chordata, Testudines, Dermochelyidae. The transcript has 2 exons.